CCUACGGGGGGCAGCAGUGAGGAAUAUUGGUCAAUGGACGCAAGUCUGAACCAGCCAUGCCGCGUGCAGGAAGACGGCGCUAUGAGUUGUAAACUGCUUUUGUACGAGGGUAAACGCAGAUACGCGUAUCUGUCUGAAAGUAUCGUACGAAUAAGGAUCGGCUAACUCUGUGCCAGCAGCCUCGGUAAUACGGAGGAUUCAAGCGUUAUCCGGAUUUAUUGGGUUUAAAGGGUGCGUAGGCGGUCGGAUAAGUUAGAGGUGAAAUCCCGAGGCUCAACUUCGGAAUUGCCUCUGAUACUGUUCGGCUAUAGCGUAGUUGCGUUAGGCGGACUGUUUGGUGUAGCGGUGCACUGCUU
Molecule: ribosomal RNA, 356 nt
Filed under: uncultured bacterium
Lineage: Bacteria
Description: partial 16S ribosomal RNA
Rfam family: Bacterial small subunit ribosomal RNA
Source: RNAcentral